GAAUGGCUCAUUAAAUCAGUUAUCGUUUAUUUGAUAGUACCUUACUACUUGGAUAACCGUGGUAAUUCUAGAGCUAAUACAUGCUAAAAACCCCGACUUCGGAAGGGGUGUAUUUAUUAGAUAAAAAACCAAUGCCCUCCGGGGCUCACUGGUGAUUCAUGAUAACUUAACGAAUCGCAUGGCCUUGUGCCGGCGAUGGUUCAUUCAAAUUUCUGCCCUAUCAACUUUCGAUUGUAAGGUAUUGGCUUACAAUGGUUUCAACGGGUAACGGGGAAUUAGGGUUCUAUUCCGGAGAGGGAGCCUGAGAAACGGCUACCACAUCCAAGGAAGGCAGCAGGCGCGCAAAUUACCCAAUCCCGACACGGGGAGGUAGUGACAAUAAAUACUGAUACAGGGCUCUUUUGGGUCUUGUAAUUGGAAUGAGUACAAUUUAAAUCCCUUAACGAGGAACAAUUGGAGGGCAAGUCUGGUGCCAGCAGCCGCGGUAAUUCCAGCUCCAAUAGCGUAUAUUAAAGUUGUUGCAGUUAAAAAGCUCGUAGUUGAACCUUGGGCCUGGUUGGUCGGUCCGCCUCACCGCGUGCACUGAUCCGACCGGGCCUUUCCUUCUGGGGAGCCGCAUGCCCUUCACUGGGUGUGUCGGGGAACCAGGACUUUUACUUUGAAAAAAUUAGAGUGUUCAAAGCAGGCCUAUGCUCGAAUACAUUAGCAUGGAAUAAUAGAAUAGGACGUGUGGUUCUAUUUUGUUGGUUUCUAGGACCGCCGUAAUGAUUAAUAGGGAUAGUCGGGGGCAUCAGUAUUCAAUUGUCAGAGGUGAAAUUCUUGGAUUUAUUGAAGACUAACUACUGCGAAAGCAUUUGCCAAGGAUGUUUUCAUUAAUCAGUGAACGAAAGUUAGGGGAUCGAAGACGAUCAGA
Molecule: ribosomal RNA, 913 nt
Filed under: Ascocoryne cylichnium
Lineage: Eukaryota; Fungi; Ascomycota; Leotiomycetes; Helotiales; Gelatinodiscaceae
Description: SSU rRNA
Rfam family: Eukaryotic small subunit ribosomal RNA
Source: RNAcentral